Molecule: ribosomal RNA, 433 nt
Filed under: uncultured bacterium
Lineage: Bacteria
Description: partial 16S ribosomal RNA
Rfam family: Bacterial small subunit ribosomal RNA
Source: RNAcentral
AACGAACGCUGGCGGCAUGCCUAACACAUGCAAGUCGAACGAGACCUUCGGGUCUAGUGGCGCACGGGUGCGUAACGCGUGGGGACCUGCCCUUAGGUUCGGAAUAACUCCCCGAAAGGGGUGCUAAUACCGGAUAAUGUCUUCGGACCAAAGAUUUAUCGCCUUUGGAUGGGCCCGCGUUGGAUUAGCUAGUUGGUAGGGUAAAAGCCUACCAGGGCGACGAUCCAUAGCUGGUCUGAGAGGAUGAUCAGCCACACUGGGACUGAGACACGGCCCAGACUCCUACGGGAGGCAGCAGUGGGGAAUAUUGGACAAUGGGCGAAAGCCUGAUCCAGCAAUGCCGCGUGAGUGAUGAAGGCCUUAGGGUUGUAAAGCUCUUUUACCCGGGAUGAUAAUGACAGUACCGGGAGAAUAAGCUCCGGCUAACUCCGUG